AUUCUACCCAUGUGGGGAAGGAUGAGAAGCUUCGACUAAGGUUCGAUUCGAGCGCAGCGAGAAAGCGUUGCCGCAGGCAACGACCCGAAGGGCGAAGCGCG
This 101-nucleotide small RNA is filed under the name Salmonella enterica. RNAcentral describes it as "partial RtT sRNA". It matches the Rfam family "RtT RNA", at positions 1 to 100 of the family's 130-position model. From Rfam's summary of the family: This family represents a bacterial cis-regulatory element known as RtT RNA. Lineage: Bacteria; Pseudomonadati; Pseudomonadota; Gammaproteobacteria; Enterobacterales; Enterobacteriaceae. The record is from RNAcentral.